AGCCUAAACUUUACAAUUUUUUGUAAAGCAUGGCUUAAAAACGUUCAACAUAGAAAGCUCCUAGUCAGAGCUCGUGUUGAACGUCAUAUUCCGAAAGGGGUAUGGGUGUCGCAAGACAUC
Candidatus Harrisonbacteria bacterium is the source of this 120-nucleotide non-coding RNA. NCBI's taxonomy places the organism in Bacteria, Candidatus Harrisoniibacteriota. The record is from Rfam.